CAUAUUAUUUAUUUAACACAAUGUUUAUACUCGUAUAUAACUUAUAUAUACCCUGGGGUUCUAAAUUUACUUCACUUUCUAUAUCAACAUUAUUUUUCAUAAAAUUUGAGAGUACAUAUCUUUCCAAUUUCUUAUAGCUAAUUAUACAACAUAUGAUGAUUACAAUGAAUAUAAAAUACAGUAUACAUGUCCAUAUGGUAGGAUAGGUAAACAUAUUGGUAGAGAUAUUUAUUGAGUUAAAGGUAUUCGGCGAAAUCUUCUUUAGGUUGAAGUUCCAUAGUUUUAUGGUAAUCCCUGAAGAUUGCUUCGGUGAAAUUAAUAGGUUGAUGUUUUGUAUCAAGGUAGGUUUUCCAUAAGUGAACGAUUCGAAGAUUAGCGGCUUGUUUUGUACAUCAUUUCUUCAUUCUUAGCCUUAAUGAGAAAUAUUCCUUCCAUGGCUUUAGUUUCGAUGAAGUUAUGUUGUAGUAUCUUGAUUUUAUCCGGGGUUGUGAAUACUGCCAGAAAUUGGUUGAUUAACGGAAUAAAGACUAGUUGAUUAUCCUGGACUGUGAGUUUACUGAAUUUGCAAAGUGUAGUGUUUCCAGUCAGCAGGAGUUCUUCUGUACAGGAAUCUUGAUGAGUGGAUAUUAAUCUUUUGGAACACUGGUAUACCUUGUGCUUUAAACAGCCUCCAUUAAGAGUUAUAAUUUUAUUAUUUUUCGAUUUUAACACAUAAUAUGCAUCUGGUAUUAUAGUAAAAAAUUCAUUUUUAUAUUUUCUUGGAAUGGGAUAUAAGUUAAAUAAUUCAAAAAUUUCCUCAGAAAAUAUAGGCAGUUGGAGGAAAUAAGUUACCCUAAGAUCGGUAUCGAUCGUACAAUGCAUUCUUAACAUAUUUUCAAAAUUUAAUAAAUCUUCAAAUUUUACUUCUAGCAAGAGGUGAGGUUUUAAAUAAUAUUCUAAUCGUUUUAAUUCUUUAAAUAAAUUAUUACUACUCAUUAUACGUGAGUGCAUGAUUUGUAAUUUACAGAAUGUUAAGGAAUUUUCAAUGUCCUGAAGAGUAUUGAAGAGCAGUUCAUAUAGUAUCUGAAUUUGGUGAAAUGCAUCCUUGAUUUCAAUUAUUUCUGCUUGGUAUUUUAUUUUCCGUCCUAUUAAAUUUAUUUUGUAUUCCAAUUCUUCGCCAUUUGUCUGAAGUGUUUGAAUAGUUUCAUUGAAAUUUAUAAUUAAUUCAUUAUUUACAGAGUACAUAGAUUUGAUUUGAUUUUCAAUAUCUAUUUGGUUGUCUUUAAUUUGAUUGAUAAGAUUGUCAAAGUUUUCCUUGUCUGUGUUGUCUAGGUUUCCUGUAAUAAAUUUUAUAACUGAUCCAAGUCCAUUAAUAAGUCCUCGACGUUGUCGGUUGGUUCUGUGCACACUUAUAUGGUCAAUUUUUUCGUCGAUGAGUGAUUUGGAAUAAUUUCCACUCUUGACAAUGUGUCCGCGAUCACAUUUUCAGAUCCUUUUUUAUAUUUAAUAUCAAAAUUGAACUCUCCUAAUUUUAAUCUCCACCUCAAUAACUUUGAAUUUGGUUCUCUCAUAGAGAAUAACCAUUGUAACGGGCGGUGAUCACUUAGGAUUUGGAAUUUUCUACCAUAAAGGUACGGCCUAAAGCAUUUAGUAGCCCAGACGAUCGCAAGUAAUUCCUUUUCAAUUGUUGAUAGUUUCGUUUCCGAUUCACACAACGUGCGGCUGGCAUAUGCGAUUGGUGGUCUCUACCAUUGAAAUUCUGACUUAGGACAGCUCCUCUAAUGCAACAUUGCUGGCGUCCGUUGUUAGGGAAAAAGGUUUUGAAUAGUCCGGGUAUUUAAGGAUCGGUUCGUUUAUCAAUAUAUGUUUACAUUUCUCAAAACAUUCCUUGUAUUCCAAUUCAUUGGCGUUGAUGGUGGCUCCCUUUUUUAAUUUACGCGUUAGUGGUUUCGUUAAUUCAGCGAAAUUGGCGAUAAAUUUUCUGUAAUAACCGAGGAGUCCGAGGAACCCUUUGAGUUGUUCGGCUGUUCGGGGGAUUGUAAAUUUUUCAAUAGCACGUAUUUUAUCGGGGUUAGGUUUCACGCCUUCAGGAGUUACAAUGUGACCCAAAUAAGCUACUUCCUUUUUAAAGAAUUCCGUCUUAUCUAACUGAAUUUUUAGAUUUGCAUCUUUUAAGCGGGUUAAGACUCUUCUUAUGUCUUCUACAUGUUCCUGAAGACUAGUGCUAUAUAUAAUUACAUCAUCGAGAUAGAUUUGACAAUUUUUUAAUCCUGACAGUACAUUGUUCAUUACCCGUUGGAAUGUUCGUGGGCUAUUUUUCAAUCCGAACGGCAUUCUGAGGAACUCGACCGUUGUCCGUAGAAAAGGCCGUUUUAGGAAUGCUUUACGGUUCAAGUUCUACUUGGUGAAAACCCGAUGUUAAGUCCAACACGGUGAAAUAUUGACUGCGUCCCAAUUUGUCUAACAAUUCCGUUAUAUUCGGUAUAGGAUAUACGUCGUCAAUGGUCUUCUCAUUUAAUUUUCUGUAAUCGAUAACUAGGCUCCAUUUCUUUUGUUUUGAUGCGUCUAGUUUUUUGGGUACUAUCCAUACUGGAGAAUUCCAUGGAGAGUGCGAAUUUUGGAUGAUUUUUUGACUAAGCAUUUCGUUAAUUUGUUUUUCUAUUUCGUGUUUGUGGAUUUCAGGGUAUCUGUAUGACCUAGUGUAAACCGGUAUUUCGUCUGUGGUUCUGAUGUAAUGUUUAAUUUUAUUUGUAAAUGAGAGUGCUUUACCGUUUGUGUGAAAUAUUUCGUUGAACUCUUUAAUAAUUUUUGUUGUUGCUGCUUUCUCCUCAAAAUUCAUAUGGUCGGUUCUAAUUAAAUUAACCAUGGGUUCCGUCAUUUGACUCUCAGAUGUUAGAGUGUGUGAAGUUUCAAAAUUUUCUACAAAAAUUGGGUUUUUAAUUUCCUCUUUUCUGGUGUUUCUAGUUUUUACCAUUGUUUUUGAAUUCCUGUUUAUUAUGUUGUGGUUCGAUUUAGGUAUUUGAUAAUAGAGAAUUUUAAUUUUCUGACGAGGAGUGCUAAGUGUGUUUGUUCUGAAGUCUAUGUGGGCGUUCAGCUUUUGUAGAUUGUCGAGCCCGAUUAAAAUAUCGAAAUAAUCGUGAAAAUAAAACACAGUGAAUUCUAGGAAGAGAGAAUCAAAGUUGAAUAAUUCGGAGCAAUUUAUGACAGUGCUGUAUUUUUCUAAAGAUGUUCCAUGGGCUGUUUGGAUUUUAAAUGGUUUGAAUUUAAAUUUUGCGUUAAAGUAUGUUUUAGCAAUAUUUGGUUUGAUAAACAAUUUCGUACUACCUGUAUCGAUAAGGAUUUUUAAAUUAUUAUUCGGGAAUAAAAUAUAUGGUAGUAUGCUUUCGGUAGUAUUAUUGAAGUGAUAUUCGGGAAUUUUUCUCCAUCCUCUAAAAAAUGGUUCUGACGUAGUUCUUUUGUUUCUAUAUCCCCUGAAAAAUUUUCUGUUAAAUCAUAUUCAAAGUCAUUUUGAGACUCGUUGUCUUCAAAAUUUUCCGUAGUUGCAACGUUAUUUAACCCUUCUAAUUUAUACCUGUUUUGUCCAGAAGUUUUAUUAAAAUUGUGAAUGUUGCGGUUGAAUGUGGGGUUUUGUUGCGUACCCCGUGUGGAAAUGCUCAUAGGUGUUGGGUGUAUGUUUUGCCCGUUGUGAAUCUGUUGUUUGGGUGCAAACAUGUUUUGUUGGUAAUGAGUCUGUUGGGAAUUUCCUGGUUCCUUUGUGAAAUUUUUAAAUUGAGAUGUCGCCCCUUAAUGUAAGAAUCGUUGAUUACCGGGUGAUUUAUUAAUAAAUUGAGGUCGUGUUGUGAAAUUAUGUUGUUUUAGGUAUUGAUAAUCGUUGUGAAGAAGACUUCCGACUUCAGGCAGAGUUUUCGGAUUUCUAUUAGCUAAGUUACUUCUGAAUGGUUCGUUCAGUUUUCCCAAUGAAGUUGUGAACCACCCAUUUUUCGACUACUUCGCUGACCGCUUCUUGCUGUUGGUCAUUGUAGUUUUCUAGUCCGAGUGUGCCUUUAAAUUCAAAGAAUCUGUCUUGUGUCUCUUCAUAUAAUUUAUGAUGUUCGGUCGGCAAGUUAACUGUAGAAACAGAUGAUCUUCAAUGUCCUCUUGAGAUCCUUUGCCGUCCUACCGACUGCGCCAGUUAAAUAACUUCAACUGCGGAUUCCUUUUU
RNAcentral lists this long non-coding RNA (4180 nucleotides) under Cimex lectularius (bed bug). Its description in RNAcentral is "uncharacterized LOC112127473". The record is from RNAcentral. Lineage: Eukaryota; Metazoa; Arthropoda; Insecta; Hemiptera; Cimicidae.